UGGCGAACGGGUGAGUAACACGUGAGAAACCUAUCCUGGUCUCUGGGAUAACAGUCGGAAACAACUGCUAAUACCGGAUGCCGUCGGAGCGCUGCAUGGCGCACUGACGAAAGGGUUACUGGAUCAGGAGGGUCUCGCGGCCUAUCAGCUUGUUGGUGGGGUAAUGGCCUACCAAGGCAUCGACGGGUAGCUGGUCUGAGAGGAUGAUCAGCCACACUGGGACUGAGACACGGCCCAGACUCCUACGGGAGGCAGCAGUGGGGAAUCUUGCGCAAUGGGCGAAAGCCUGACGCAGCAACGCCGCGUGCGGGAAGAAGGCCUUCGGGUUGUAAACCGCUUUCAGAAGGAACGAAACUGACGGUACUUUCAGAAGAAGGUGCGGCCAACUACGUGCCAGCAGCCGCGGUGACACGUAGGCACCAAGCGUUGUCCGGAUUUAUUGGGCGUAAAGAGCUCGUAGGCGGUUCGAUAAGUCGGGUGUGAAAACUUUGGGCUCAACCCAAAGCGUGCAUUCGAUAC
This 519-nucleotide ribosomal RNA is filed under the name uncultured Ilumatobacter sp. Its description in RNAcentral is "bacterial SSU rRNA". It matches the Rfam family "Bacterial small subunit ribosomal RNA", at positions 96 to 633 of the family's 1533-position model. The record is from RNAcentral. Lineage: Bacteria; Bacillati; Actinomycetota; Acidimicrobiia; Acidimicrobiales; Ilumatobacteraceae.